UGGGGUGUCGUCUAAUGGUAGGACGCCUGCCUCUGGAGCAGGUAGUUGGGGUUCGAGUCCCUGCACCCCAG
This 71-nucleotide transfer RNA is filed under the name Chloroflexota bacterium. RNAcentral describes it as "tRNA-Gln". It matches the Rfam family "tRNA". Rfam says of the family: Transfer RNA (tRNA) molecules are approximately 80 nucleotides in length. Their secondary structure includes four short double-helical elements and three loops (D, anti-codon, and T loops). RNAcentral also lists the same sequence under 3 other names. Lineage: Bacteria; Bacillati; Chloroflexota. The record is from RNAcentral.